GAAAUGCGAUAAGUAGUGUGAAUUGCAGAAUUCAGUGAAUCAUCGAAUCUUUGAACGCACAUUGCGCCUCCUGGUAUUCCGGGAGGCAUGCCUGUUCGAGCGUCAUUAAAACCACUCAAGCUACUAAGCUUGGUCAUGAGGAAUGUAUUCACAUCUUUGUGGUUACCUCUUCAAAAUUGAAUGGCUGAGUUAUCCUUGGAUUACAGCGUAGUAACAUUCGAAACUCGCUAGGAUUGAGGAGACCGUCAUGCCCCCAACCCCCAAUUUACUUAUGGUUGACCUCGGAUCAGGUAGGGAUACCCGCUGAACUUAA
This 313-nucleotide unclassified non-coding RNA is filed under the name uncultured Pyronemataceae. RNAcentral's name for it is "sequence contains ITS1". The stretch from base 1 to 105 matches the Rfam family "5.8S ribosomal RNA", at positions 50 to 154 of the family's 154-position model. The record is from RNAcentral. Lineage: Eukaryota; Fungi; Ascomycota; Pezizomycetes; Pezizales; Pyronemataceae.